RNAcentral lists this ribosomal RNA (458 nucleotides) under uncultured bacterium. Its description in RNAcentral is "bacterial SSU rRNA". It matches the Rfam family "Bacterial small subunit ribosomal RNA", at positions 8 to 475 of the family's 1533-position model. The record is from RNAcentral.
AGAGUUUGAUUCUGGCUCAGGACGAACGCUGGCGGCGUGCCUAACACAUGCAAGUCGAACGGGGGUAGCAAUACCUCAGUGGCGAACGGGUGCGUAACACGUGAAGAACUUGUCCAUCGGCGGGGGAUAGCCGGCCCAACGGCCGGGUAAUACCGCGUACGCUUGCUGGGUGGCAUCAUCCGGCAAGGAAAGCAGCAAUGCACCGAUGGAGAGCUUCGCGGCCUAUCAGGUAGUUGGCGGGGUCAAGGCCCACCAAGGCGACGACGGGUAGCUGGUCUGAGAGGAUGGCCAGCCACAUUGGGACUGAGACACGGCCCAGACUCCUACGGGAGGCAGCAGUGGGGAAUAUUGCGCAAUGGGCGAAAGCCUGACGCAGCGACGCCGCGUGCGGGAUGAAGGCCUUCGGGUCGUAAACCGCUGUCGCGAGGGACGAAAAUCUGACGUACUCAAAGAGCCCG